RNAcentral lists this long non-coding RNA (522 nucleotides) under Phoenix dactylifera (date palm). RNAcentral's name for it is "long non-coding RNA (PDAC_LNC005594)". Lineage: Eukaryota; Viridiplantae; Streptophyta; Magnoliopsida; Arecales; Arecaceae. The record is from RNAcentral.
GCUUAUCUGCUUUUGAGAAGCUUUGUUUUCUAUUUGUCCCUUUUAUUUACAACUUGUCUUUGCUUGAUUCAAUCGGGGGAUUGAAUCAAGAGUCUUGAGGUUGGUUGGUGAGCCGAGUGUAAAACCAACGUGUGUAAGAGUUCGAUUGUGAUCCCGCGAAAACAAUCGGGGUGUUCUAGUCGGUGAGCCUGGAAAAACCGACCGAGUUCGUUGUGAGCUCGUAAAACAACAAGUUUGGUUGUGAGCUUGUAAAACAACCGGCUGUAAUCCAAGGGGUUAUAGUGAAUUCCCAAGUGAGACUUGGGGAGUGGACGUAGGAGCAAGGGUUAGCUCCGAACCACUAUAAAAUCCUUGUGUUUGUGAUUGUUUGUCUCUUUUCUUUACUCUCAUUUCAUUCACAGCACAUAGCAAUUAAUUAAUUAUCUGGGUAAAGUAUUAAUUAGUCAUCCACAACGUUUUAAAUAGCCAAAUUCUUUUAAAACCCAAUUCACCCCCCCUCUUGGGUUGUCUAUCUGGGCAACA